AGUCGAUCGCUUUUAUUGCUUUAUCUUUUUGUUUUCGCUUCUCUUUCUCGCCUUCCCCCCCCCCACACACGCCGUUGUUUUCUUCACAAUGGCGGAGGCGAAGGUGGUGAAGGACCUGGCGGAGGUGUGCGCGCGUGGUGAAGAGACCUAUAGCGUAUGGACAACUGCGAAAGCUCUCGUGCAACGCCGCUACCUUUCGGCCAAGGCGCAGGGCACAUUCGAGGACUGCGGCAAACUGCUUGUUUCUCUGACGCAGGUGCUGCGGACGUACCUCCGCAUCGAUCUGGCACAGGAGCUGCUCCGUGACAUGCUCUUCCAAGUAAUGGAGCGCUUCUCUGCAAAGCAGGCGGCAGGCGCCACAGCGGCCAUUGUAAAGGACGGCGGCGCGCCUCAUUCCUCAUUUGACCUAGCUGCCGCUAACUUUUUGCAGCAUGUGUUCGACACACUCCUCUCCGCGACCACGCGCACCUACACGCUGAUGGGACCCAUGCCGCUCGUUGUAGAAUGGAACAGGGAUGCAGACAGUGGAGGCGUGGAUGCCGUUGUGGCGCAGUCGAAGCACGCCGCGUCAUGGGCCGAGGAUGUAGUUCUCGAGUUUGCCGCUCGCGCGGCGGACUUUCUUUCACAGCGUCUCCAGAGCGCUGAUGUAUUGUCUCGUUGGGCACAGAAUCUGUUUGUGUCGUACGAGCAGCUACUUGCUCUCCGUCUGGCACUCCCGUCAUCGCCACCCUCCACGCCGCAAGACGGCAAAGCUGCCUCGACUGCUGCCCCAUCACCGUCGGUGCCCGUCCCGACGCUGGCUGCGCAGCUGCUUCGUAUGAGCAUCUUCAGUCGCGCCAGCAGAACUGGGAAAGAGUCUUCAGACAGCCCCAGCGCAGCAACGACACCAUUGACCGCCGCCGUGCACUGGCUCACCCAUUUCGCUCGUGAGCCGAACGCGGUCAAUCACCUCUUCGCCCAGUACGUGUACUUUGACAUUCUUGGCCGAGGCCAGCAGAGGAGCUCUACGACUAACACUGCACCGGGCAACAGUGGCGCCCCCGCGAAGAUGCCGCUUGAGCGCGUGAAUGCGGCACUGGAGGAGAGGUGCGCGCUGACUCGUCGGGAGGCGAUCUAUAUGGCACGCGCUGCAGUGGAGGCGUACUGGCAAGCGUUUCCGCUUGUGCUGAAGCAGACCUCUUCGGCCAGCUCGCGGCAGCUGUCCAGCUGCGUGGAAGAGAGCGGCAAAGAGGACGCAAACGUCGACCCCCAAUACGUGCACCUCUACCGUUGGACGUGGUUCCUCGACUCGCUCACGCUCACCUUCGCGUACAGCGGAAGCGCGAGUGCGGGUGCAAAUGAAGACGCGGCGGCGCAGCAGCGGGAGAGGCAGAAGCACGUGUGCGCGCAGCUGCUGGAGACAUACGCUGACGUUGCCGCUGAGCUCCCAGGGUUAAAGUGGAAAGAGUUGAUUGCUGCCUACAUUGGCCCAUGAAAAAGGCGGUUUGGGCCUAGGGAAGGUGGCCUGCAAGAGAUUGAGCGCAGCAGCGGUGGUUGAUGCGACGCGGGGUCUUCAGCGUUGCGAUUCGCUUCUCCGCCAUCUGCCUCCUUUCGCGUUUAUUCUGCUGUACUUCACUUCACCUGUAAGAGGGUGCCCUUCCACGAGCAUCUGGUGCGCUUUUUUGUUUCAUUUUCGAAACUGAGCCGCUGCUGCUCUCUGUGGGUGUUAUCAGCCCCCUGCCUCUUUUUGUUUUGUUCAUAGUGUCCGCGACGUUUCCUUCGUGCGGGCAUUCAAACACGUAUUCUAACCCUUUCCUCUCGAUGCGCAGGGGUGUGCGUUUCUUCACCUCUGCGCUUCCUACUUUGUGGCGUAACGUGGCGCGUUCCCUUUCUGUUGCCUUUCUUCUUCGUUUCCCUUUGCCAUUUUUUUAGCGCCUGGCGGCAUCACCUCUCCUCUGGUCCCGCGCACGCACACGCUCAUCGCAUGCAAUGUGCUCACCUGCUUCGUCGCUGUUGCUAUGAAGCACCAU
RNAcentral lists this unclassified non-coding RNA (2009 nucleotides) under Leishmania donovani. Its description in RNAcentral is "gene:LdHU3.36.3190(CDS-product:hypothetical_prote in_conserved)". The record is from RNAcentral. Lineage: Eukaryota; Euglenozoa; Kinetoplastea; Trypanosomatida; Trypanosomatidae.